CUAUGCCUACGGGGGGCAGCAGUCGGGAAUAUUGCACAAUGGAGGAAACUCUGAUGCAGUGACACCGCGUAUAGGAAGAAGGUUUUCGGAUUGUAAACUAUUUUAGACAGGGAAGAAAAAAGACAGUACCUGUAGAAUAAGCUCCGGCUAACUACGUGCCAGCAGCCGCGGUAAUACGUAGGGAGCAAGCGUUAUCCGGAAUUACUGGGUGUAAAGGGAGCGUAGACGGCGAUGCAAGCCAGAUGUGAAAGCCCGGGGCUCAACCCCGGGACUGCAUUUGGAACUGUGUGGCUGGAGUGUCGGAG
Molecule: ribosomal RNA, 305 nt
Filed under: uncultured bacterium
Lineage: Bacteria
Description: bacterial SSU rRNA
Rfam family: Bacterial small subunit ribosomal RNA
Source: RNAcentral